Molecule: unclassified non-coding RNA, 129 nt
Filed under: plant metagenome
Description: partial contains 5.8S ribosomal RNA, internal transcribed spacer 2, and large subunit ribosomal RNA
Source: RNAcentral
GCGUAUCGCACCGGACUGAAAGAUCGUGUGGAGAUCGAUGUCGAUGUUCCCAAGGCAUUACCGCUCGUCCUGAUCGACAAGGCGGUUCUGUCGCGUGCAUUGACUAACAUCAUCGAGAACGCCUUGCAC